Mauremys reevesii (Reeves's turtle) is the source of this 333-nucleotide long non-coding RNA. RefSeq lists it as uncharacterized. The record is from RefSeq and is a predicted model, not a curated record. Lineage: Eukaryota; Metazoa; Chordata; Testudines; Geoemydidae. The transcript has 3 exons.
GGAGCCUUUCACCAGAGGGAUAACAGUGAAAUGUUUGAAAAGGCCCCUUCCCAGCUGAAAUCGGGUGGAACAAAGACUGGGCCAUCUCUGAGAGAGACUGGCAUUUAUGUUUAAUUGAAUGGUUGGCCCCAGCUGAGACCCCAACAAAGGGGUAUACUCUGGCAUAGAGGCCAAAAAGAAAGGGUGAGGCUCAGUCAGAGAAGGGAGAGUUUGGACAAAGCCUCCAUGCUUCUGAGGUGAGAAAGAAAAGAAAACUGGAAGGCAUUUGUCUGGCUGAGGUAUAUAAUUAGCUUAAUAUUUCAGCUAUUUUAUAUAUUCAUUUUCAAAAUACAG